GACGAACGCUGGCGGCGUGCUUAACACAUGCAAGUCGAACGGUGAAGCGCCUUCCUUUUUGGUGGGUGUGGAUGAGUGGCGAACGGGUGAGUAACACGUGAGUAACCUGCCCCCUUCUUCUGGAUAACCGCAUGAAAGUGUGGCUAAUACGGGAUAUUCUGGGUCUGUCGCAUGAUGGGUCUGGGAAAGAUAUUGUUUCGGUGGGGGAUGGGCUCGCGGCCUAUCAGCUUGUUGGGGGGGUGAUGGCCUACCAAGGCGGUGACGGGUAGCCGGCCUGAGAGGGUGGACGGUCACACUGGGACUGAGGCACGGCCCAGACUCCUACGGGAGGCAGCAGUGGGGAAUAUUGCACAAUGGGCGCAGGCCUGAUGCAGCGACGCCGCGUGAGGGAUGGAGGCCUUCGGGUUGUGAACCUCUUUCGCCAGUGAAGCAGGCCUGCCUCGUUUGUGGGUGGGUUGACGGUAGCUGGAUAAGAAGCGCCGGCUAACUACGUG
This 494-nucleotide ribosomal RNA is filed under the name uncultured bacterium. Its description in RNAcentral is "partial 16S ribosomal RNA". It matches the Rfam family "Bacterial small subunit ribosomal RNA", at positions 28 to 507 of the family's 1533-position model. The record is from RNAcentral.